CAGUCGCCGCGGGAAUACAGAGGGUGCGAGCGUUAAUCGGAUUUACUGGGCGUAAAGCGUGCGUAGGCGGCUUCUUAAGUCGGAUGUGAAAUCCCUGAGCUUAACUUAGGAAUUGCAUUCGAUACUGGGAAGCUAGAGUAUGGGAGAGGAUGGUAGAAUUCCAGGUGUAGCGGUGAAAUGCGUAGAGAUCUGGAGGAAUACCGAUGGCGAAGGCAGCCAUCUGGCCUAAUACUAACGCUGAGGUACGAAAGCAUGGGGAGCAAACAGGAUUAGAUACCCCUGUAGUCCCUGUCUCUUAUAC
RNAcentral lists this ribosomal RNA (301 nucleotides) under uncultured bacterium. RNAcentral's name for it is "partial 16S ribosomal RNA". It matches the Rfam family "Bacterial small subunit ribosomal RNA", at positions 509 to 807 of the family's 1533-position model. The record is from RNAcentral.